Molecule: non-coding RNA, 1220 nt
Filed under: Bipolaris sorokiniana ND90Pr
Lineage: Eukaryota; Fungi; Ascomycota; Dothideomycetes; Pleosporales; Pleosporaceae
Description: Eukaryotic large subunit ribosomal RNA
Rfam family: Eukaryotic large subunit ribosomal RNA
Source: Rfam by way of RNAcentral
ACCAAGGAGUCUAACAUCUAUGCGAGUGUUUGGGUGUCAAGCCCGAGCGCGUAAUGAAAGUGAACGGAGGUGGGAACCCGCAAGGGUGCACCAUCGACCGAUCCUGAAGUUUACGGAAGGAUUUGAGUAAGAGCAUGGCUGUUGGGACCCGAAAGAUGGUGAACUAUGCUUGAAUAGGGUGAAGCCAGAGGAAACUCUGGUGGAGGCUCGCAGCGGUUCUGACGUGCAAAUCGAUCGUCAAAUUUGGGCAUAGGGGCGAAAGACUAAUCGAACUAUCUAGUAGCUGGUUCCUGCCGAAGUUUCCCUCAGGAUAGCAGUAACGUAUUCAGUUUUAUGAGGUAAAGCGAAUGAUUAGAGGCAUGGGGGUUGAAACAACCUUCACCUAUUCUCAAACUUUAAAUAUGUAAGAAGCCCUUUGUUACUUAAUUGAACGCGGGCAUUUGAAUGAAACGUUAUUAGUGGGCCAUUUUUGGUAAGCAGAACUGGCGAUGCGGGAUGAACCGAACGAGGGGUUACGGUGCCGGAGUACACGCUCAUCAGACACCACAAAAGGUGUUGGUUCAUCUAGACAGCAGGACGGUGGCCAUGGAAGUCGGAAUCCGCUAAGGAGUGUGUAACAACUCACCUGCCGAAUGAACUAGCCCUGAAAAUGGAUGGCGCUCAAGCGUGUCACCUAUACCCCUCCGCCGGGGCAAAAUUUACGCCCCGGCGAGUAGGCAGGCGUGGAGGCUCGUGACGAAGCCUUGGGGGUGACCCCAGGUCGAACGGCCUCUAGUGCAGAUCUUGGUGGUAGUAGCAAAUACUCAAAUGAGAACUUUGAGGACUGAAGUGGGGAAAGGUUCCGUGUGAACAGCAGUUGGACACGGGUCAAUCGAUCCUAAGAGAUAGGGUAGUUCCGUUUUAAUGUCGGCGCUUGCGCCGCGCCCUCGAAAGGGAAGCCGGUUAAUAUUCCGGCAUCUGGAUGUGGAUUCUCCGCGGCAACGCAACUGAGAGCGGAGACCUUGGCGGGAGCCCCAAGAAGAGUUCUCUUUUCUUCUUAACGGUCUGUCACCCUGAAAUCGGUUUGUCCGGAGCUAGGGUUCAAUGGCCGGAAGAGCGCUGCACUUUUGCGGCGUUUGGUGCGCUCCCGACGAGCCUUGAAAAUCCGCUUGAAGAAAUAGUUUUCACGCCAGGUCGUACUCAUAACCGCAGCAGGUCUCCAAGGUGAACAGCCUCUAGUU